CGGAGGGUGCAAGCGUUAUCCGGAUUUAUUGGGGUUUAAAAGGGUACCGUAGGCGGACUUGUAAGUCAGUGGUGAAAUCUCAUAGCUUAACUAUGAACUGCCAUUGAUACUGCAGGUCUUGAGUAAAUUUUGAAGGUGGCUGGAAUAAGUAGUGUAGCGGUGAAAUGCAUAGAUAUUACUUAGAACACCAAUUGCGAAGGCAGGUCACUAAGAUUUAACUGACGCUGAUGGACGAAAGCGUGGGGGUGGCGAACAGGAUU
This 260-nucleotide ribosomal RNA is filed under the name uncultured bacterium. Its description in RNAcentral is "partial 16S ribosomal RNA". It matches the Rfam family "Bacterial small subunit ribosomal RNA", at positions 526 to 779 of the family's 1533-position model. The record is from RNAcentral.